AUAGAUAAUACAGACAUUCAUUUUAGAAUUAACUGUCAGCUUUUUCUUGAGACUCUUCUUAUGGAAAUUAGGGGGAAGACAAUUUCAUAUUCAAGUUUUAAAAAAAAGCAAGACGAAAAAAGGGAAAUCAAUCUUCGAAAUGAAAUAACUCAAUUAGAGGAAAGAGUUGAUGAACAUUCCAUUAACGAGUUAGAAGCAAAAAAGCAUGAGCUCGAAAGUUUACGAACACAAAAAUUAAAAGGGAAAUUAGUAAGAUCUCGUGUCCAAUACAGGAAGGGGAAAAACCUACUAAUUACUUCUGUGGCUUAGAAUCACGAAC
RNAcentral lists this long non-coding RNA (319 nucleotides) under Mytilus galloprovincialis (Mediterranean mussel). The record is from RNAcentral. Lineage: Eukaryota; Metazoa; Mollusca; Bivalvia; Mytilida; Mytilidae.